AUUUUGACUUAUUUUUGAACUCUUGUGAUCAGUAUGACUAGAUUGUGUGAGUUUCCAUACUAAAAGAGCUGUAGUGAUAAAAUAAUUGGCAUCAGAGACACUGAUUUUUGGCAUGGUAUACUGCAGAAGUUUUUUUUUUUUUUUUUGCAUAAUUUACCUUUUAAUUAAACUGCAUUCUCUGUAUUGUAACAAAACUAACAUUGUUUAUAUGUCAGAAAAUUAGCAAACAUGAAUAAAUGGCGAAAACAAUAUAAUUAUAACAUAUAUUUUUAUUUGACUUAUUUUAGGUCUGUGAAGCCAAACUUGAUGCUGGGGAUUUAUUUUUGUCAGUGGAGUCAAAUGGUUGAAGCAGAAUUUGCCCGUCUUACAUCUGUUGACCUGAAAGGGUUCCUUUUUGCUGUGCUUGACCAUUAUGGAGAGGUUCGUGGAGCUGUACAAAAUCAAGAGCGGCAUAGGAGGGCUAACUAGGCUCAUAAAAUGCUUCAAUGAUGAUAGCCCUACACAAAGGAAGAGGACAGAGGACCUCAUUUUCUA
Oreochromis aureus is the source of this 534-nucleotide long non-coding RNA. NCBI's taxonomy places the organism in Eukaryota, Metazoa, Chordata, Actinopteri, Cichliformes, Cichlidae. The record is from Ensembl.